Empidonax traillii (willow flycatcher) is the source of this 848-nucleotide long non-coding RNA. RefSeq lists it as uncharacterized. Lineage: Eukaryota; Metazoa; Chordata; Aves; Passeriformes; Tyrannidae. The record is from RefSeq and is a predicted model, not a curated record. The transcript has 3 exons.
GUCCGCGCCCGGCGCCGCCGCCGCCGCCGCUGCGCCCUCCCGGCUGCGAGUCCGCCCGGCUCCGGAUCACGUGGCGGUUGCCGGAGGCAGAGACUAGAGAGGAGAGAAAAAAAAAGCGCCUCAUUCCUUCUUCCACCGCCAUACUGUAUUUUAUAGUAACUCUCAUUUUUAUUCCUCCCUUUUACUCCCGCUCGUGGAAGGUUUUCCUGGAGAAUGAAGUGCGGUUUGGUUUCCUUGUCAACGGAAGAUGAAGUGAACAACUGAACAUCUCCCCAGUGCAGUAUUUCAGUUUCACAUGGAAACCUCCUUCUAUCAGUUGUAUGAGUCCCUCUGCACAGCUACUAACAUAUCUGAAAAAUUUUCACUAAUCCUUCAUAAUUAUGUAAUUGUUAAAUUUGGAAAAACCUAAAAUAGGAUGGUUAGUGCUAUACUGGGGAGGUCAUUUCAGGCUUUUUGCAGAAUAACUAAUGGACUUUUGAAAAUGUUGAAGUAAUGCAUGUGUAUGCUGUAUGCAGAUGGUGGGGGAAAAAUGCGGUGCACAUGAAACCUGAGCGCAGAAAUGUUGAACUUAGAAACUAUCUUUUCAGUGAAAACUAUUUAACUCUAGAGCCUUUCCUUUGCAUUUUGAGAGGAUUUAGAAGAAUGCAUUAUUCAUAGUGAAACAGCCGUUAGAAAGUCAGUUGUUUCUGAUAGAGGGUGGUGGACACAAGCUUGCAUAUUUUUUUAGCCAUUUUGUGUUACACACUACUGCAGAAAAAUCUGUUUCGUGCAUUGAAUACUGUAUUGAUUAUAAUCAAUCAGACAUUUUUCAUAGGCUAAGGUAUGCCCUACUUAGCAAAAACUGCAUC